UGAUUUAUCCAGCAAUAAGCUUACCGGUUCCAUACCUGAUACCUUGUGGAAUUUGUCAUCCCUCAGAGAAUUAGACCUUUCAAUGAAUCAACUGAACGGAGGCUUAUCAGAGCGCAUAAAAUCCUUGCGCAAUCUUACUUAUCUCUAUCUGGAUCAAAACUUCCUCAGCGGACAGAUACCAUCAUCUUUGGGUGCACUGAGUUCUCUGAAAAUAUUGUAAGUAAACUCUCUGCAACUUUUUGUUUUCACCAUUGCACUUAAUUCUUCGACUUUCUUGGACUUGAUAUGAUCAGUUGG
Molecule: non-coding RNA, 297 nt
Organism: Prunus avium (sweet cherry)
Lineage: Eukaryota; Viridiplantae; Streptophyta; Magnoliopsida; Rosales; Rosaceae
Source: RefSeq, a predicted model, not a curated record